CUUGAUGAAUUGUCGUAUGUUGUUGUUAAUUCUCUUGAUAUGAUGAUGAAGUUCCAAUAUUUUUGAGUUUUCAAAUCUGGCCCGUGUGAAUUUGCAGGGUAUUCAUAACGAUCAUGUUAAGAACCAGUGGAACCUCCAUGGAAGGAAAAGUAACUUGGGAUAGAAGGAGAUGAUGAUAUGAAAGCAUGAAGAUGGUGGAUGUUAAUGCUUAGGAAUUUGAAUUAAAUGUUAGAACCUUAUGUCAUGAGCUUGUAUUUUUGAAUUUGAUUCAUAUGUAAGAUAUCAACAUGAUUAUGUACUUGAACCUUGAAUUUUGAAUUUGAAGUUGGUAAUUGGAUGGAAUGUUUGGAUUUGUAUAUGA
This is a long non-coding RNA of Lathyrus oleraceus (garden pea), 361 nucleotides long. RefSeq lists it as uncharacterized. The record is from RefSeq and is a predicted model, not a curated record. The transcript has 2 exons. Lineage: Eukaryota; Viridiplantae; Streptophyta; Magnoliopsida; Fabales; Fabaceae.